UCUUCCGUAGUAUAGUGGUUAGUAUGUGAGCUUGUCAUCGCCCAAUCAGGGCCAGGCAUCGCUCGAGACCCGGGUUCAAUUCCCGGCGGGAGAG
Molecule: transfer RNA, 94 nt
Filed under: Thermothielavioides terrestris NRRL 8126
Lineage: Eukaryota; Fungi; Ascomycota; Sordariomycetes; Sordariales; Chaetomiaceae
Description: Thielavia terrestris NRRL 8126 tRNA
Rfam family: tRNA
About the family: Transfer RNA (tRNA) molecules are approximately 80 nucleotides in length. Their secondary structure includes four short double-helical elements and three loops (D, anti-codon, and T loops). Further hydrogen bonds mediate the characteristic L-shaped molecular structure. tRNAs have two regions of fundamental functional importance: the anti-codon, which is responsible for specific mRNA codon recognition, and the 3' end, to which the tRNAs corresponding amino acid is attached (by aminoacyl-tRNA synthetases). tRNAs cope with the degeneracy of the genetic code in two manners: having more than one tRNA (with a specific anti-codon) for a particular amino acid; and 'wobble' base-pairing, i.e. permitting non-standard base-pairing at the 3rd anti-codon position.
Source: Rfam by way of RNAcentral